UACAGAGGGGGCAAGCGUUAUUCGGAAUUAUUGGGCGUAAAGGGCGCGUAGGCGGCCUGACAAGUGGAAGGUGAAAUCCCUCGGCUUAACCGAGGAACUGCCUUCCAAACUGUUUGGCUUGAGUCCGGGAGAGGCGAGUGGAAUUCCCAGUGUAGCGGUGAAAUGCGCAGAUAUCAGGAGGAACACCGGUGGCGAAGGCGGUUCUCUGGGCAUUACCUGACGCUGAGGAGCGAAAGUGUGGGGAGCGAACAGG
Molecule: ribosomal RNA, 253 nt
Filed under: uncultured bacterium
Lineage: Bacteria
Description: partial 16S ribosomal RNA
Rfam family: Bacterial small subunit ribosomal RNA
Source: RNAcentral